AACUUAAUGGCUAAGAAUUCAGCCAUGAUAUGCUAGAAAAUCCUGGAAAGAAUUUAUUAAUUUGUUGUAGCUAAAUUAGGCUGAAUGGGCAUGAAUGAAGCAUUAAAAUUUUGGUUCAUGCUUGGAGAUGAUGCAUGGACUGGCCGAAUCAUCAUGUUGCUUCACUUGAUGCAUUCAUGCAUCCUUAACCUUGAAGAAAGCUUAAUUCCAUAGAUGUGCAACCCCUUCAUUGUUCCAAC
Molecule: long non-coding RNA, 239 nt
Filed under: Gossypium barbadense (sea-island cotton)
Lineage: Eukaryota; Viridiplantae; Streptophyta; Magnoliopsida; Malvales; Malvaceae
Description: long non-coding RNA (GBAR_LNC014220)
Source: RNAcentral